GUACACGCUGUGACUAGCAUAUCAAUAAGCGGAGGAAAAGCAAAUGCUAUUACCUACGCUUAGGAUGUUGACACACGCGCGUGCUCGACUCUAUACAUGACUCUGUGCAUAUCAAUAAGCGGAGGAAAAGAAACUAACAAGGAUUCCCUCAGUAACGGCGAGUGAGGCGGGAAGAGCUCAAAUUUGAAAUCUUGAAAGGUCUACCUUGCACGAAUUGUAGUUUAAAGAAGUGUUUUCUGUUACGAUCGUAAUAUAAGUUCUUUGGAAUAGGACAUCACAGAGGGUGAGAAUCCCGUCUAUGAUUGCAUAUUUUAGCUUUGUGAUACACUUUCAAUGAGUCGGAUUGUUUGGGAAUGCAGUCCAAAAUGGGAUGGUAAAUUUCAUCUAAGGCUAAAUAUUGGCGAGAGACCGAUAGCGAACAAGUACCGUGAGGGAAAGAUGAAAAGGACUUUGAAAAGAGAGUUAAACAGUACGUGAAAUUGUCAAAAGGGAAGCGUUUGACACCAGUGUUGUUUUCUCGAAAAUCAAUUAAAAAUGGCUCGAUUUUGUAUUGCUUGAGACCUUAAAAGCUCACUGUACAUUUUUCGUGUCUUUUUUAAUGCACUUUUCGUUUAACAAGUCAACAUCAGUUUCUUUUGUUGUAAAAGGGUCAUUGGAAGGUGGCUUUCUUUUCGGAGAAAGUGUUUAUAGCCUUUGGCCUCUGCAAUCGGAGAGACUGAGGUCUGCAGCGUAGACUCUUCGGGGUUAGAUACAUUUGUGCUAAGUUAUAGCUUUUUAUAGACAACUUGUUGACUAUAAUUAGUCUUGUAGCUUACUCGCUUAUGCUAUUUUACCUACGCUUAGGAUGUUGAGUAGCGACAUACGCAC
This 867-nucleotide ribosomal RNA is filed under the name uncultured Neocallimastigales. Its description in RNAcentral is "partial large subunit ribosomal RNA". It matches the Rfam family "Eukaryotic large subunit ribosomal RNA", at positions 1 to 649 of the family's 3401-position model. The record is from RNAcentral. Lineage: Eukaryota; Fungi; Neocallimastigomycota; Neocallimastigomycetes; Neocallimastigales.